This 443-nucleotide ribosomal RNA is filed under the name uncultured bacterium. Its description in RNAcentral is "partial 16S ribosomal RNA". It matches the Rfam family "Bacterial small subunit ribosomal RNA", at positions 338 to 795 of the family's 1533-position model. The record is from RNAcentral.
CCUACGGGCGGCAGCAGUGGGGAAUAUUGGACAAUGGGGGGAACCCUGAUCCAGCGACGCCGCGUGCGUGAAGAAGUCUUUCGGUUUGUAAAGCUCUAUCAGCAGGGAAGAAAGGAAUGACGGUACCUGACUAAGAAUCCCCGGCUAACUCCGUGCCAGCAGCCGCGGUAAUACGUAGGGGGCAAGCGUUAUCCGGAUUUACUGGGUGUAAAGGGAGCGUAGACGGUUACGCAAGUCUGGAGUGAAAGGCGGGGGCCCAAACCCCGGACUGCUUUGGAAACUGUAUAACUGGAGUGCAGGAGAGGUAAGUGGAAUGCCUAGUGUAGCGGUGAAAUGCGUAGAUAUUAGGAGGAACACCAGUGGCGAAGGCGGCUUACUGGACUGUAACUGACGUUGAGGCUCGAAAGCGUGGGGAGCAAACAGGAUUAGAUACCCCUGUAGUC